Molecule: ribosomal RNA, 492 nt
Filed under: uncultured bacterium
Lineage: Bacteria
Description: partial 16S ribosomal RNA
Rfam family: Bacterial small subunit ribosomal RNA
Source: RNAcentral
AGUGAACGCUGGCGGUAGGCCUAACACAUGCAAGUCGAACGGCAGCACAGUAAGAGCUUGCUCUUACGGGUGGCGAGUGGCGGGCGGGUGAGGAAUACAUCGGAAUCUACUUUUUCGUGGGGGAUAACGUAGGGAAACUUACGCUAAUACCGCAUACGACCUACGGGUGAAAGCAGGGGAUCUUCGGACCUUGCGCGAUUGAAUGAGCCGAUGUCGGAUUAGCUAGUUGGCGGGGUAAAGGCCCACCAAGGCGACGAUCCGUAGCUGGUCUGAGAGGAUGAUCAGCCACACUGGAACUGAGACACGGUCCAGACUCCUACGGGAGGCAGCAGUGGGGAAUAUUGGACAAUGGGCGCAAGCCUGAUCCAGCCAUACCGCGUGAGUGAAGAAGGCCUUCGGGUUGUAAAGCCCUGUUGUUGGGAAAGAAAAGCAGCAGGUUAAUACCCCGCUGUUCUGACGGUACCCAAAGAAUAAGCACCGGCUAACUUCGUG